RNAcentral lists this ribosomal RNA (318 nucleotides) under Bacillus sp. (in: firmicutes). RNAcentral's name for it is "bacterial SSU rRNA". It matches the Rfam family "Bacterial small subunit ribosomal RNA", at positions 71 to 380 of the family's 1533-position model. The record is from RNAcentral. Lineage: Bacteria; Bacillati; Bacillota; Bacilli; Caryophanales; Bacillaceae.
AUUAGAAGCUUGCUUCUAUGACGUUAGCGGCGGACGGGUGAGUAACACGUGGGCAACCUGCCUGUAAGACUGGGAUAACUUCGGGAAACCGAAGCUAAUACCGGAUAGGAUCUUCUCCUUCAUGGGAGAUGAUUGAAAGAUGGUUUCGGCUAUCACUUACAGAUGGGCCCGCGGUGCAUUAGCUAGUUGGUGAGGUAACGGCUCACCAAGGCAACGAUGCAUAGCCGACCUGAGAGGGUGNNNGGCCACACUGGGACUGAGACACGGCCCAGACUCCUACGGGAGGCAGCAGUAGGGAAUCUUCCGCAAUGGACGAAA